This 693-nucleotide ribosomal RNA is filed under the name uncultured bacterium. Its description in RNAcentral is "bacterial SSU rRNA". It matches the Rfam family "Bacterial small subunit ribosomal RNA", at positions 70 to 778 of the family's 1533-position model. The record is from RNAcentral.
GAGAGAGAGCUUGCUUUCUCGAGCGAGUGGCGAACGGGUGAGUAACGCGUGAGGAACCUGCCUCAAAGAGGGGGACAACAGUUGGAAACGACUGCUAAUACCGCAUAAGCCCACGGCUCGGCAUCGAGCAGGGGGAAAAGGAGCAAUCCGCUUUGAGAUGGCCUCGCGUCCGAUUAGCUAGUUGGUGAGGUAAUGGUCCACCAAAGCGACGAUCGGUAGCCGGACUGAGAGGUUGAACGGCCACAUUGGGACUGAGACACGGCCCAGACUCCUACGGGAGGCAGCAGUGGGGAAUAUUGCACAAUGGGGGAAACCCUGAUGCAGCGACGCCGCGUGGAGGAAGAAGGUCUUCGGAUUGUAAACUCCCGUUGUUGGGGAAGAUAAUGACGGUACCCAACAAGGAAGUGACGGCUAACUACGUGCCAGCAGCCGCGGUAAAACGUAGGUCACAAGCGUUGUCCGGAAUUACUGGGUGUAAAGGGAGCGCAGGCGGGAAGACAAGUUGGAAGUGAAAUCUAUGGGCUCAACCCAUAAACUGCUUUCAAAACUGUUUUUCUUGAGUAGUGCAGAGGUAGGCGGAAUUCCCGGUGUAGCGGUGGAAUGCGUAGAUAUCGGGAGGAACACCAGUGGCGAAGGCGGCCUACUGGGCACCAACUGACGCUGAGGCUCGAAAGUGUGGGUAGCAAACAGGAU